UUGGAUUUCUGUUGAGGACGGCCGGUCCGCACUCUGUGCGUGUAUCUGGUUCGGCCUCGGCAUCCUCUUGAGGAACGUUUCUGCGCUUGAUUGCGUGGAGCGGUUUCAAGACUUUUACUUUGAGGAAAUUAGAGUGUUCACGGCNGGCAAGCGCCUUGAAUAUGUUAGCAUGGAAUAAUAAUAUAGGAUCUUGGUUCUAUUUGUUGGUUUCUAGGGCUUAGGUAAUGAUUAAUAGGGAUAAUUGGGGGCAUUUGUAUUAACGCGUCAGAGGUGGAAUUCUUGGAUUGCGUUCGACAAACUACUGCGAAUGCAUUUGCCAAGGAUGUUUUCAUUGAUCAAGAACGAAAGUGUGGGGAUCGAAGAUGAUUAGAUACCGUCGUCGUCUAUACCAUAAACUAUGCCGACUAGGGAUUGGAGGUCGUUCUUUUUAUGACUCCUUCAGCACCUUAUGAGAAAUCAAAGUCUUUGGGUUCCGGGGGGAGUCUAGUCGCCAGGCUGAAACUUACCGGAAUUGUCGGAAGGGCACCACCAGUAGUGGAGCCUGCGGCUUAAUUUGACUCAACACGGGGAAACUCACCAGGUCCAGACAUAGU
This 593-nucleotide ribosomal RNA is filed under the name uncultured marine eukaryote. RNAcentral describes it as "SSU rRNA". It matches the Rfam family "Eukaryotic small subunit ribosomal RNA", at positions 634 to 1234 of the family's 1831-position model. The record is from RNAcentral.